UGGGGAAUAUUNNNCAAUGGGGGGAACCCUGACGCAGCCAUGCCGCGUGAAUGAAUAAGGCCUUAGGGUUGUAAAGUUCUUUCGGUAUUGAGGAAGGUUGAUGUGUUAAUAGCACAUCAAAUUGACGUUAAAUACAGAAGAAGCACCGGCUAACUCCGUGCCAGCAGCCGCGGUAAUACGGAGGGUGCGAGCGUUAAUCGGAAUAACUGGGCGUAAAGGGCACNCAGGCGGUUAUUUAAGUGAGGUGUGAAAGCCCCGGGCUUAACCUGGGAAUUGCAUUUCAGACUGGGUAACUAGAGUACUUUAGGGAGGGGUAGAAUUCCACGUGUAGCGGUGAAAUGCGUAGAGAUGUGGAGGAAUACCGAAGGCGAAGGCAGCCCCUUGGGAAUGUACUGACGCUCAUGUGCGAAAGCGUGGGGAGCAAACAGGAUUAGAUACCCUGGUAGUCCACGCUGUAAACGCUGUCGAUUUGGGGGGUUGGGGUUUAACUCUGGCGCCCGUAGCUAACGUGAUAAAUCGACCCGCCUGGGGAGUACGGCCGCAAGGUUA
RNAcentral lists this ribosomal RNA (549 nucleotides) under uncultured bacterium. Its description in RNAcentral is "bacterial SSU rRNA". It matches the Rfam family "Bacterial small subunit ribosomal RNA", at positions 355 to 896 of the family's 1533-position model. The record is from RNAcentral.